GACGGAGGGUGCUAGCGUUGUUCGGAAUGACUGGGCGUAAAGGGCGCGUAGGCGGCUCGUGAAGUCGGGUGUGAAAGCCCGGGGCUCAACCCCGGAACGGCAUCCGAUACUGGCGGGCUUGAGACCGGGAGAGGAGGGUGGAAUACCCAGUGUAGAGGUGAAAUUCGUAGAUAUUGGGUGGAACACCAGUGGCGAAAGCGGCUUCCUGGUCCAGCACCGACGUUCAGGCACGAAAGCGUGGGGAGCAAACAGG
Molecule: ribosomal RNA, 253 nt
Filed under: uncultured bacterium
Lineage: Bacteria
Description: partial 16S ribosomal RNA
Rfam family: Bacterial small subunit ribosomal RNA
Source: RNAcentral